UAACAGGUUGAGAUUCCUGUACUGGUUUGAUUUGUUUGAACGAUGGAGGGACGCAGGAGGCUAGAGAUGCGUGCUGUUGGAUAUGCACGUCCAAGCAACAAGUCUGAUGAUGAGUCAAAUGCUUAUCAUCUUAAGGAUAAGUUGUGAUGGGGAGCGAAAUUAAAGUAGCGAAGUGAUCGAUGUCACACUGCCGAGAAAAGCUUCUAGUUAG
RNAcentral lists this ribosomal RNA (211 nucleotides) under Ligilactobacillus murinus. Its description in RNAcentral is "Lactobacillus murinus partial 23S ribosomal RNA". It matches the Rfam family "Bacterial large subunit ribosomal RNA", at positions 1422 to 1629 of the family's 2925-position model. Lineage: Bacteria; Bacillati; Bacillota; Bacilli; Lactobacillales; Lactobacillaceae. The record is from RNAcentral.